This 103-nucleotide ribosomal RNA is filed under the name Absidia sp. RSPG_214. RNAcentral describes it as "5.8S ribosomal RNA". The record is from RNAcentral. Lineage: Eukaryota; Fungi; Mucoromycota; Mucoromycetes; Mucorales; Cunninghamellaceae.
AAACUUUUUUAUUCUGUGCACUGUUUUUUUUAAGGGGCUUUUUGCCCCUGACCUGGGAUGUUCAGCUUUUGCCUUUGGGGAAAAUGUCAGAGUCCCAGUCAUU